RNAcentral lists this ribosomal RNA (468 nucleotides) under uncultured bacterium. RNAcentral describes it as "partial 16S ribosomal RNA". It matches the Rfam family "Bacterial small subunit ribosomal RNA", at positions 28 to 507 of the family's 1533-position model. The record is from RNAcentral.
GACGAACGCUGGCGGCGUGCUUAACACAUGCAAGUCGAACGGAAAGGCCCUGCUUUUGUGGGGUGCUCGAGUGGCGAACGGGUGAGUAACACGUGAGUAACCUGCCCUUGACUUUGGGAUAACUUCAGGAAACUGGGGCUACUACCGGAUAGGAGCUCCUGCUGCAUGGUGGGGGUUGGAAAGCUUCGGCGGUUGGGGAUGGACUCGCGGCUUAUCAGCUUGUUGGUGGGGUAGUGGCUUACCAAGGCUUUGACGGGUAGCCGGCCUGAGAGGGUGACCGGCCACAUUGGGACUGAGAUACGGCCCAGACUCCUACGGGAGGCAGCAGUGGGGAAUAUUGCACAAUGGGCGGAAGCCUGAUGCGGAAACGCCGCGUGCGGGAUGACGGCCUUCGGGUUGUAAACCGCUUUCGCCUGUGACGAAGCGUGAGUGACGGUAAUGGGUAAAGAAGCACCGGCUAACUACGUG